Molecule: ribosomal RNA, 1867 nt
Filed under: Campylobacter coli
Lineage: Bacteria; Pseudomonadati; Campylobacterota; Epsilonproteobacteria; Campylobacterales; Campylobacteraceae
Description: partial 23S ribosomal RNA
Rfam family: Bacterial large subunit ribosomal RNA
Source: RNAcentral
AAAAAAGGUAAGCUACUAAGAGCGAAUGGUGGAUGCCUUGACUGGUAAAGGCGAUGAAGGACGUACUAGACUGCGAUAAGCUACGGGGAGCUGUCAAGAAGCUUUGAUCCGUAGAUUUCCGAAUGGGGCAACCCAAUGUAUAGAGAUAUACAUUACCUAUAUAGGAGCGAACGAGGGGAAUUGAAACAUCUUAGUACCCUCAGGAAAAGAAAUCAAUAGAGAUUGCGUCAGUAGCGGCGAGCGAAAGCGCAAGAGGGCAAACCCAGUGCUUGCACUGGGGGUUGUAGGACUGCAAUGUGCAAGAGGUGAGUUUAGCAGAACAUUCUGGAAAGUAUAGCCAUAGAGGGUGAUAGUCCCGUAUGCGAAAAACAAACCUUAGCUAGCAGUAUCCUGAGUAGGGCGGGACACGAGAAAUCCUGUCUGAAUCCGGGUCGACCACGAUCCAACCCUAAAUACUAAUACCAGAUCGAUAGUGCACAAGUACCGUGAGGGAAAGGUGAAAAGAACUGAGGUGAUCAGAGUGAAAUAGAACCUGAAACCAUUUGCUUACAAUCAUUCAGAGCCCUAUGUAGCAAUACAGGGUGAUGGACUGCCUUUUGCAUAAUGAGCCUGCGAGUUGUGGUGUCUGGCAAGGUUAAGCAAACGCGAAGCCGUAGCGAAAGCGAGUCUGAAUAGGGCGCUUAGUCAGAUGCUGCAGACCCGAAACGAAGUGAUCUAUCCAUGAGCAAGUUGAAGCUAGUGUAAGAACUAGUGGAGGACUGAACCCAUAGGCGUUGAAAAGCCCCGGGAUGACUUGUGGAUAGGGGUGAAAGGCCAAUCAAACUUCGUGAUAGCUGGUUCUCUCCGAAAUAUAUUUAGGUAUAGCGUUGUGUCGUAAUAUAAGGGGGUAGAGCACUGAAUGGGCUAGGGCAUACACCAAUGUACCAAACCCUAUCAAACUCCGAAUACCUUAUAUGUAAUCACAGCAGUCAGGCGGCGAGUGAUAAAAUCCGUCGUCAAGAGGGAAACAACCCAGACUACCAGCUAAGGUCCCUAAAUCUUACUUAAGUGGAAAACGAUGUGAAGUUACUUAAACAACCAGGAGGUUGGCUUAGAAGCAGCCAUCCUUUAAAGAAAGCGUAAUAGCUCACUGGUCUAGUGAUUUUGCGCGGAAAAUAUAACGGGGCUAAAGUAAGUACCGAAGCUGUAGACUUGCGCACAACUUAGAUUAUUUAAGUUUAGAAUAUGAGAAACUAAGUUAUAUGUUUAGUUAUAUUUUUACUGAUUUUUAUAGAGUAAAGAUAGAAAUAAAACUUAGUAAAAUCAGUAAAAAUAUUCUUAGACUAAAGUUAAGUAGUUUAAGUUGUGUGCAAGUGGUAGGAGAGCGUUCUAUUUGCGUCGAAGGUAUACCGGUAAGGAGUGCUGGAGCGAAUAGAAGUGAGCAUGCAGGCAUGAGUAGCGAUAAUUAAUGUGAGAAUCAUUAACGCCGUAAACCCAAGGUUUCCUACGCGAUGCUCGUCAUCGUAGGGUUAGUCGGGUCCUAAGUCGAGUCCGAAAGGGGUAGACGAUGGCAAAUUGGUUAAUAUUCCAAUACCAACAUUAGUGUGCGAUGGAAGGACGCUUAGGGCUAAGGGGGCUAGCGGAUGGAAGUGCUAGUCUAAGGUCGUAGGAGGUUAUACAGGCAAAUCCGUAUAACAAUACUCCGAGAACUGAAAGGCUUUUUGAAGUCUUCGGAUGGAUAGAAGAACCCCUGAUGCCGUCGAGCCAAGAAAAGUUUCUAAGUUUAGCUAAUGUUGCCCGUACCGUAAACCGACACAGGUGGGUGGGAUGAGUAUUCUAAGGCGCGUGGAAGAACUCUCUUUAAGGAACUCUGCAAAAUAGCACCGUA